Molecule: long non-coding RNA, 19260 nt
Filed under: Citrus sinensis (sweet orange)
Lineage: Eukaryota; Viridiplantae; Streptophyta; Magnoliopsida; Sapindales; Rutaceae
Description: long non-coding RNA (CSIN_LNC004490)
Source: RNAcentral
CUGUGCAAGCUAUCAAACUUGCCUGAAGAGAACCUGCGCACACCCUCUUUCCUGCUCCAAAGGCCAUUGUCUUGUACAAAUCUGCAGGGUCGUUUUGCCCAUCAAGAAAUCUCUCGGGUUUCCACUCCUCUGGGUUUUCCCACUGUUUCUUGUCCAUGUUGCAUCCGUAUAUGUUUAUUGCAAUCUGUGUAUGCAACAUAAAUUAAAGUUAACAUCUAACAAUGCAGACACCAUUAGUCGGAACCACAAAGAUUUCGAAGGAAACUAAGCUAAACAACAACCUCACUUCCAGCAGGAAUGAAGUAUCCUCCUAUUUCGGUAUCUUCAUGUGCAAAUCUUAAAGGAACUAUUGGAGCUGGACUGUACUUUCUCAGAGUUUCAUGGAAAACUCCUCCCAAGUAAGGAACCUGUGCUAUGUUUUCCUCCGUAAACUUGUUCGACCCACAAACUGAUUGAAUUUCCUGAAAUAGACGGUCCUGUAGUGUGUGUAUAUAUAUAUAGAAGGAACAUCAAUAUAUGCAAAAAAUUUUGAACAGGUAGCAAAGAUCAAAAUUCAUGGAGAGACUAGCGAUUGAUUAAUUAACCUGUCGCAUUGGAUCCUUUGCGAGCUCAUACAUGGCCCAUUCUGUUGUGACCAAAGUAGUAUCUGAUGUCUCGAUGAUAGGCUCCCAGAGCAGCAUGCUUAUUUGUUGCUCUGUAAGUGAUUUUACUUCUGACAACAAGUGAUCAACAUAACAAUUCAGUUCCUGUCCUGAAGCAAUUCUGCUUUUGGCCUCGCUGAUGAGGGCAUCCAUUACUGCUUGCCUGCGGGUACACAAUCUCUGAAUUUUCAUUUCCACGCCUUUAUUAGGAACCCAUCUUAGGUAAGGGAAGAAGUCUCUCCAGUCCACCUCAAUUGCUCCCUCCAUUAUGUCAAGCACUAAAAUUUUAAAUAUCUCAUCUUUUGACAAUGUGGUACGGAGCUCCUUCACAUAAAUUGAUUCCACAACCUUUCCCACAGCCUGAAAAUGCAAAAUGCUUUAAUUAUCUAUGUAUUUAGUCAAAGAUAAGAGAUGAAUUUCCAACAAAAGAUCACAGCUAGCUCACCUGCUUCAUUGACACUGCAAAAAGUUCAGACUCAAAAAUUUUCCUGAAAUUGACUAGUUGUAGAGGGUUGUCCUUGAUGUGAGCAUGAAAUUGGGUUGAAAUAUUUUCCAUCAUUGUGUCUCUAUGGAUUCGGUGUCGCUUCUGAAUAACACACAUACAGAGAGUACGCGUCAUUAGUUUCGGCAGUACGAUAUACAUGCAUACACAACAUAUGAAGGGACACGGUGAAAGCAAGAGAAAGUUGCAGUAGCAGAUUAACCUGAGCAUUCCCACCCAAAACAUUUGUGAGUAAACAUCGUUUAGCCAUUUUGUGAAAUUCAUCGUAGUCACUUAUUGCAACCAUACACUUAUUAGAUGUGAGGAUCUUCAGGGCAUUUGAUAGCUUCCUUGUUGAAAUGGAUGGAUAUCUGGUCACCAUGGCCUGGAAGAACAAACAAUAAAUUAAAACAUUUUAAUCAUUGAUUGAUUGAUUUCUCUUCUAUGUGCCCCUAUAUCAGUAACUAACUAAAGCUACAUGAAUAUAUAAAUUAAUUAAUUAAUUAAUGACAAGCAAACUGGACAUUUAGUGAAUUAGACAUCUUGAUUGUCAGCCUAACGACCUAACUAAAGGGAUUCAUAUGCAGCUCACUCAAACUUACACCCGAGCGGUUAAGUUGCCAAACAUUAACAGCUUAAACAUGUUAUAUACUAUUAAUUGUACAGCUCGGGCCCAACAAUUAAGUAGAUAUUAUUAGUUUUGGUCACAUAGUCAGUCACAGUUUUGUUCUGGACAUUUUUACUUGAAACGCAUCUACUUAGUUAAGACAGUUCAUGACUUAUAAAAAAGUUCAGUUCAGAAACUGACUCGCUAGCGAAUUGUGAUGUUACGUUAACAAUUUCACCCGAUGACAAAAUUGAAUCUAUAGUUUGCAGUGUUAAAAGUAUAGAACCAGAAUGCCUGCCUCUUUAGCAACAUCAGCGGAGUUGAGAACAAUCAUAGUAGAAGCGCCAGUCUUGAUAGAGUAAAUUGGUCCAUACACCUCUGCCCACCUUGUGAAAGUCAUGUGUGGUUUCUUCUCUUUCAACUGUAACAAAUUUCCUAUAAGUGGUAGCCUUCCUGGAACCUCUGCACACAACUCCCCAAAAACAACCCAUUGAUCAUUUUAAUUAAUCAAUGAAGAACAAAGAACUGAAGAGAAGAAACCAUAUAUACAUACCUGGAACAGGCGGAAGAUUAACAGCUAAUUCCAUCCUCUGCCUAGAGAUGAACCUUCUGAUGAAGAACAAGAAGAAAAACACAGAGAGAGUACCAAGAGCAAUGGAAGUAGCAAAGGGUACUGCUUGAAAUGAUUGAAUGAUGUACUCUUUGGCGGCCAUUGUUUUUUAUUUUCUAUACUGAAAUAUAGUGAAAGAAGUCCGAGAUUCUAUAGAAUGAGAUGCUCAAGGCAUAACUUGAGUAUUUGUAAUCAUGAUUACACACAUGGGUUGUUGAAUUGGAAUGUUAUAUUUUCAAAAAACAUUUAGCUAAAGUACAAGUAGAAUUGACCUGUCAUGUGUCAGAGAGAGACGACCGAAUUAUGGCCUGUCUCUGAGUCUAAAUUAGCUGGUGCUGUUUUUUGUAAGUGUUUUUCAGGAAGGAUUCCCUUUCGGCGUUUACCAAAUAUGGAAGGGUCCAAACAAUUAUGUUAGUCGUGUGGAUAGUGCCAAAAUGGGGCAUGGAAUUAUGCAAAGGAAUCAAGAGAGUUCAGAUACUAUUACAAACAACUAUUACAACAAACAAAUUCGUCACUGCCGUGUAUCUGCGGUUGCAACUCAGUGCUAUCCAUGCCUUCAACAUAGCUGGAGUCGAUAAUAUGAUACUUAUAGGUCCAUUAUCUUUAAAUAAUGAUAGCUUUUUUUUCCCCCUUGUACAUUAGUGAGAGUAGAUUUCUGAACAAAGCUCAAGAGACCUCUUGGAUUGAACUAAAACAAAUGUCUAAAUUUAGAAUCCUAGUAUAUUGCGGAUCAAUAUUUAUUGCUUAAAGAAACUCAAAUUUUUGAAGAAAUAUUUGCGAAAAUACAUUGUAUUUUGAUCAAUCUUUACAUGAUAAGGAAAUUAAUUGUUUGCUUCUAUAAAUGGAAUCUCCACCACGCCGUAGAAAUAUUGGACUUGUCUAGUGGACCUUAAAGUAGCCCAUGGGUGAAAUGAGUCUUUUACUAUUGUCAGCAACACUAACAAGUAACAAUGUUGAAGUAAUUAAAUAUAUAUAUAUAUAUAUCUUUAAGAUAAAUUAAUUUUUAUAAUUCAUUGGACUUCCAUGCUAAAUGCCAAUAAUCCGAAGGUGUUUAUUAUAUUUAUCUAUGAGAUAUCAAUUUAUCAUGCGUGUUGGGGAAAAAAUUAUCAUAAGCAUUGUAACUUUUUAUAGAAAUAUUAUAUUUUAAUUUACUGAUAUUUUAUUGGAAUUCUAUCGAGAGCGUAGAUGGAUUCUUUUAUAAUGCAGCCUAGAUAAUAUUAAAAAAAAUAUAAAAAAAAUGAUUUAGAAAGUGAUUUACAAUUUACCAUCCCAAUAAUGGGUGAUUUUUACACAUAGUCUACUAGUCGUAUGUUGAAUAUUCAAAAUAUGAACGCUACCAAAGAAAAUAAGUUUCCAUUAUCCCAUUAAAGAAGUUGUAAGCGUGAUUGGGCUGCGCUCUAAAAUUAUAGCCAUAAUUUCAUUUUCAUGUUGUGAGACAAUCAUUUUUUCUUUUGACUUGACCAAGAUAUUGUGCCGCUGUGGAAUAUGCUCUUGUGCGUAUAGCUCACUCAGUUUUUCUGUCGUUACUUUUUUAUAUUGCAGUCACUCAACCACACAGCAUGUGUUGUUGGAAUGUAUUGCUUUGAGCAUGAAAAGAUUGACUGCAUUUUGGAUUUGAUGUCUUGAGGGGGUGCGUUUAUAGUGGAUAUCAAAGAUCCAAAAGAAUGCCUAAACAUUUGAUUCUUUUUAGAGCAUGUAAAGAAGAGAUAAUAAUUGGGGUUUGUUUGUGUGCUUAUUCCUCCUUGCACCUUUGAGCCUUUGAGGCUGUUGCAUUGCUUUUUUCUUCAAAAAAAACAUUAUGCAAUUACAAGAAAUCCAUUGCUUGGAUAUUUUCAAAUAUUGUAAGAUGGAUACAAAAACUCUUUUUGUUACUGAGGGCUAUUCAAAUUUUAAAACUAGGGUGUUGUAACUUCAAAUUCACAUUUACGGACAUGAUGAGAUAUUUGUUUUAAAGUUUCUAAUAAUAAAACAAUCAAAUUCUUGAGAACCACCAAAUAGUUAGGUGAUAAACCAUUUCAAAUUUCAUUCAUGUUAGUGGUAAAAUAUUGGACGGAGGUACUAAUGGCAUUACAUAUGGAGAACAUGAUUCGAGACUAUGAUAAAGGAUGAAGGGAAAGUUGAGAAGGGAGGAUAAAAUGGAAAGAUCUCAAUGAAUUAGUCUCAAUCACCUAAACUGCCAAAGAGUGACACAAAAUUACCUCCUACAAAAUAUCUAAGUCACCACGUGUCUAUACGGAACGAAUUAACAAUCACACGAGGCGCCACCAGGCCACAUCCCCACCUAAGUUGUCUCCAAAGCAUCUCUUUGUGAGCUGCCAAAGUCAAGAUUGAGAAAGGGGGACUACAGACAAGCCACCUCCACCAUCCCUCUAAUUGAUUCAUUCAAAAUUGGCUAAUUAAUUAUAGUUAAGGGCACACAAUCAGCACAAACUGUCACUAAAUAGAUAGCUGCCCAACCUAAACAAGCUUAAAAGCCUCAACAAAAGGAGUCAAAUUACUCUCGAGACCCGACCUUAGGAGGAGAAUCACCAAUAACGGCUCGCCUCAUAUCUAAACGGAUAUAAAUAUGCCCUUAGAGAACUUCACUUUAAAAGGUCAAAUUGGUCUUAUUAAGGGGUAAGAUCACUAUCAAAACACUUAAAAUCUCCUACUCUAUAAUUUCUCUAAAAACCCAUCAUCUUCUUCAAUCCCUCAUUUACUUGAUUAUCAAAGCGUCGUCGCUAGCCCCCGCCACCGUCGCCUCUAACAACUGUUCCUUGUGAUUUCAGAUUCGUCUCAGUCGUCAUCGUCCCCAGAAAACAAUUUCUAGACAGCUCGACAUCCAUCUUCACCAAAAAACUACCUUCUGUAGAGAAGUUCUCAUACUAUUUUGGGCUAAAUCAGAUAAAAACAAUUCAUAUGAGAAGAGAUUGUAAAUAGGAUAAAAACUUGUUUCAUCCUUAUAUUUUAAGGUUAGUACUCAUUUAAUUCCUAUAUUUUUAAAAAUGCUUCAAAAUAUCCCUACUGUUAAAUUAUUGACAUCCCUACUGUUACUUUUUGUUUCUUUUGACUUGCUUUUACAAUAUUACUCUAUUACAAUAAUGUUUCUUUUUAUGAAAUUAAUAAAAAGAAAAAAAAUUAAAUUAUCAAGUUAACCCCAAAAAUUAAAUGAAAACAAAAAGAUUAUAUAUUAAUUUUUGUGAAAGGUUACAUGUCUCCAAAAAUAUUUAUUGUAAAAAUAAUUAAAUAACCUUUUUGGACAUUAGUAAAAAAAAUAUAUAUAUAUUAACUCCUCAGCAGUGUGUUCCAAAACAAGUAACAUAUAUUAAUUUUGUCUCUAUUUUAUUUUUUGAGAUUAAAUUGAUAAUUAAUUUUUUUUCUUUUUACUAAUAAUGUUUAAAAAAAUAUUAUAAGACGAUAAUAUUGUAAAAAUUAAUCCAAAAGCAACAAAAAGUAAGAGGAAAGAUGCUAAUAAUUUAACGUCGGGGAUGUUUUGAGGUAUUUUAAAAAAUUUAGGGACUAAACAAGUAUUAACUCAAAAUAUAGAGACUAAACGAGAUUUCACUCUUGUAAAUAUUAAUAUAUUUUUUCAUCUCUUUUAAUAUAUAUUUUUCAUCUCUUUUCAACUCACAAUUUUUUUUUUUUAAAGAAAAAAAUGAAUCAUUGACCAUUGAUCGGAAAUAAAUACACCUCAAGAUUUGUCCCUUCGAUGCUUCGAUGCAUAACUAAGCCCUAAUCAUAGAAAUAGACAACUAAACUCUCACUAUGUCAAAAAAUGUAAAUACAAAUAGACUCCUUUCUUGAGUCAAUUUUGCCGAUUAUAAUAUCAUGUUUAUUAUGAAUUUAUGAUAACCGGUUCAUGAAUGGGUUUUUAAACUUUUGCCAAUAAAUGUACUAGCCUUUUCAAAUAAUGCCUUUAUUGAUAAUUACAUAAAACCGAAGGAGCUCAAAUGUUAUUAGUUAAAAAGAUAAAAAAAGUCAGAAUAACAGGUGUAACGCCAAAAGAAAAAAAAAAAUCCAUAAUAUUAAAUUAUGGAAAUUGGGCUUUAAUUAGAAAUCGUGCAUGGCCUUAUAACCCUUAUUAGGAAGGGAUAUUAAAUUAUAAAUGAGGGUUAUUUAUGAGGUAAUGUCGGAAAAUGAUUAUUUUUUCAAAUUCAAUAGGGUUUCUUAAGACGCCCUAUAAAUUUAUAUUUUUUUCCUUCCAUAACCCUAAAUCCACGACGUUUCUUCUCAUUCUCUGCUGCUCAUUACGCUCUUACCCAAACUCUAGAAUUCAAACCUUUGUUUAGGAGAGAAUCAAAGCAAUUGGUAAGUGUACUCUCCUUGUUCUCCACAAGAUUUCCAAUCACUCUAUCUAGGGUUUAUAUUGGCAUGACUUUAGAUUGUUAUAGAUUAUAAUACAUGAUUUAGGAUGUGUUUACGCUUUGUUUAGGGUUCUGAUUUAUUAUGAGCCUAGUUAAUCAAUCCUUGAUGCAUUAAGCGCACAUGAUAAUUUUGGACAGUGUUAGUACCUCGAAUUUAACCCUAUAUUCUCUGAACGAUUUUUCUUAAGAAAUUUAUAUUUCUGGAAACUAAACAUGUAGGGCUUCUUGAAUAAAUUUUGUUUCAUCAAAUUACUUCGUUUUCAAUUUUAUAUGUAUUUUCGAAAUAGACACCAUUGCACUGGAAAACUACAAUUCCAGCAAUGCGAUCAGAUUUACAAAUUUAUUUGUACUAUCAAAUGAAAUUGAAAAAUUCUGAAAUUUUAUAUGGACGUUAUUAUAUGUGUCUAGUAUUCCCAGUUUUAAUUUCAUAAUUUUCUAAUUGGUAUUUUUAUUUUAUAAAAAUCUAAGAACCUAUUCUAUUCGGUUAAGGUACUGGGAAACAGUUUCAAAUUGUUCAAGUAAUAAAUAGUUUUGAAAAUGUUUUUGGUAUCAGAUUCCCUUGAAAAUUUUACAGAAGGUACCCAUAGAUGUCCAGAAUAGUUCUAUAGGAUAUUACGUCAUUCUAAGUUCUAGAUUAAGAGUUAAAAUUCUGAGAAUCAGACCUGUACGGGUAUGAAUUAGAAAAUCAGAUUCUUAAAAUAAGUUAUUGAUAGUCAUAUUUUGUAUUUGUUAAGGUGUUUGAGGUGUUUGAGGCUCUUAGAGGCCUAGAGGUGUGCUAAUUCAAAUUCUUUUAUCGAGAUAAGUAACGUCAUUCCUAAUGUACUGGAAUAUGUAUAACUAAUUUCAUAUUAUUAUAAGUGUUUUUGUACCACUUAGAUGAUUAAAUGAUUUUCAUAACAAAAUCAUUUUAUGAAAAUGUUUUCAAAUCUAAAUUCUUUUAACAAAAUAUUUUAUAAAAUGCCUUUCAAUAUGUAAGUUAUUUUAUGUCAUGACUACCUUUUAUAAUUUUGUCAAUGAAAUAUUUUGCAAGCCUAAAUUAUUGUUAUGGACUUUUAUGAAUCUGAUAGAUUAUGUCGUAUAUGUCUUAAAGGGGGGAGGGAGUGAGAGGGAGAGGACCCGUUUCUCUUUGAUUCACCACCGGUGGGGGAUUCUUAAGGGGGAGUUUUUUUUUUGAAUUUGAUGUGUUAAACAAAAAGCAUUCCCCAAAACAUUACCCUUGCCCACCGUAUGGAGCCACCGUCGGUCAACAUUGUUUUGUUUGAAUUAUUGUACCCAUGUAUGAUUUUCAUUAUUUAUGAUUGUAUGGGAUUCCUAAUGUUUUGGCUCAUUGUCCAUAGUUAUUCUGAUUCUGAUUCUGAUUCUGAUCGUAUGAUACGAUAUGUCUGUUCUGGACCAGUAUUGGGUUUAUGUUCUGAGUGUGCACACGAUAUUCUAAUUCUGAUUCUGUUCUGGCCGGGUCACCGGAACUAUGGGUGACACUAUGUUACAUGAGCUAACCUUUUGUUUUCUGUGAAUGUGAUAUAUGAUUUGCUUUCGUAAGUAACUAUGCUUUUGAUAUUCAGGAUUUACUAUGAAUUUAUGUUAUUUUAUCGUGAUAUAUCGUUUUAUAAAAUCUAUGAAUUAUGAAUUAUGUUUUACUAAAAGAAGGCUUGCAAUAUUUUUUUUAGAUAUCGAUAGGCCUAGUGUGUUAGGAAUGGUUUUAUUUACCGAGUUGACGGCUCACCCCUCGUCAUUACUUUUAACAGAUUAAGUUCCAUUUGAGAGGUGUGCUUAGCUCUGGAGUUAGAGAUUUCAUUUUCGUUUGCUGUUUGAAUAAGAAGAGGAAUGGACUCAUGUUUCUUUUUAGUUUAUUUUUGUUAUACGUUUAUAAUUUGGAGUUUGAGACUUUUGUUAUUUUUAUGUUUUGGGAUAGAUUAUUUAGUGUUAGACAUGAAUUUGUAGAUUUAUUUGAGUAAGAAUUUGAGGUAUUUCAUUUUAGAAUUUAUGAGUAAGGAUUACGAUUUGAAAGUAACCUCCUUUUUCACGUGCUCCGCACGUGUUAGAUGAUACGAUAUGUCUGUUCUGGACCAGUAUUGGGUUUAUGUUCUGAGUGUGCACACGAUAUUCUAAUUCUGAUUCUGUUCUGGCCGGGUCACCGGAACUAUGGGUGACACUAUGUUACAUGAGCUAACCUUUUGUUUUCUGUGAAUGUGAUAUAUGAUUUGCUUUCGUAAGUAACUAUGCUUUUGAUAUUCAGGAUUUACUAUGAAUUUAUGUUAUUUUAUCGUGAUAUAUCGUUUUAUAAAAUCUAUGAAUUAUGAAUUAUGUUUUACUAAAAGAAGGCUUGCAAUAUUUUUUUUAGAUAUCGAUAGGCCUAGUGUGUUAGGAAUGGUUUUAUUUACCGAGUUGACGGCUCACCCCUCGUCAUUACUUUUAACAGAUUAAGUUCCAUUUGAGAGGUGUGCUUAGCUCUGGAGUUAGAGAUUUCAUUUUCGUUUGCUGUUUGAAUAAGAAGAGGAAUGGACUCAUGUUUCUUUUUAGUUUAUUUUUGUUAUACGUUUAUAAUUUGGAGUUUGAGACUUUUGUUAUUUUUAUGUUUUGGGAUAGAUUAUUUAGUGUUAGACAUGAAUUUGUAGAUUUAUUUGAGUAAGAAUUUGAGGUAUUUCAUUUUAGAAUUUAUGAGUAAGGAUUACGAUUUGAAAGUAACCUCCUUUUUCACGUGCUCCGCACGUGUUAGAUUUGAGGUGUUACAAGAGAUGAACAAACCUUGUCGGGUAAUUGUCAGUAUGAUACAACUUUGCCUGAGACUAAUGACAAAUCAACACUUGAAACAGAGGAAGAAACCCAGCUGGUCGAGGAGCCCAUCAAAGGUCCAGCUCGUAUGCGCAGGGCACCAACAUACCUCAAGGAUUACAUUACCUAAGGAAUAUUCGAGAAGGAACAAAAGGAGCGAGAAAGAUGACAGCUGUGAUUUUGGUUAUUUUGUUGUGACUAUUUGUUUUGCCAAUUUUGUCGUAGUUGGUUAGUUACGCUUGUAUUAUUGUGGGACAAAAAGGAUAUUUGUAAAGGGCAAUAUGUCAGAAAGGAUAAUAAGAAAAUGACAAAUAUUUAUUCUUCUCUCUCUCCGUCUCUCCUACUAUCUCUGUUUCUCCAUUAAUUUCAAUUCUUUUGCUUCUUUUUGCUGGAGUCAGCACUUACUCGAAAAGUGUAAAUCUAGGAUAUAAACUCUGAGUUGCAGAGUUGUAUCAAUUGGUGCUUUCAUUGCCUUCUUCACAAAAAAAAAAGAAAAAAAAAGAAGAGAACAAAAGCCACCAUGACUGAGCACACAAAGACGAUUGAUUUUGAGGUUCUUUCCGCCAUGAAGGAGCUCCUUGAGAAGCAAACACUCUCUGUUCAUCAGACCUUACAACAGUACAUGUCCACUGUAGAUUCCCGUUUUGAGGAAUUCCAAGCUCAAAUCCGUGGCUCGGUAGGCGUUUUGAGUGGCCAUUCACGACCAUCAGAGCCUAUGACAGUGUUUACAGAGGGUUCUGCUGGGGGCACAGACUUUUCACCGCUUUUACGUUCCAUGAAAAUGGACAUCCCUAAGUUUGAUGGCUCUGAUCCAACAGGGUGGGAAUUUCGCAUCAACGAGUUUUUUGACCUCCAUGGGACCCCAAAUAAUUUGCGUCUUCGCAUUGCAUCGUUUCACAUGGAAGGGAGAGCCGCGACUUGGUAUCAAUGGAUGAAAGCGAACAAUCUAUUAACCACAUGGCGAAGUUUUUUGGUCAGUCUUAAAAGUCGCUUUGGAGCUUCCAUGUAUGAAGACCAUCAAGGAAACCUUUCAAAAUUAACGCAGACCUCCACAGUUGCUGAUUUUCAGUCGGCUUUUGAAGACCUAAUGAACAAAGUUACUGGUAUAUCUGAGCCUUUGUUAAUUAGUUUCUUUAUCACGGGUUUAAAGUCUGAUAUCCGUCGUGAGUUGUUGUUUACUCAACCGACUUCUCUCAUGGAAGCCUUUGCUCUUGCUAGAGCUUAUGAGGCUAGAUCUGAUGAAGUUAAAACAACCAGCCGUUCGUGGUCAAAAUGGCCUCCUACUACACCUCCAGCUUCACCAAAUGUCCCCCCUGUUUUACCAAACACUUCCACUUUUAAAAAUACCAAUACUCUAGCUGCCCCUGUUAUUACUACAACAAAACCACCAUCUCAACCUCCAUUAUUACCAACCCCCAAUUUACCAAUCUGUCGCCUUACUCCAGCUGAGUUACGGGAUAAAAGAGAAAAAGGGUUAUGUUAUAAUUGUGAUAAAAAAUAUAGUGCAAACCAUCGUUGCCGUAGCAAAUUCUUGUUGUUGAUGGGUACUGAUGAUGAAGAGCGUGACCCAGGGGAGGAAGGGAAUAUCAUUGAGCACACUGAAGAAGUGGUUACCGCCGACAUUUCAAGUCUGAAUGCCUUGGCUGGUCAGUCCAAUCCGCGGUCUUUGCGUGUCUUGGGUGAAAUUAAAGGACAUCAAUUCCAUGUUCUUAUAGACAGCGACAGUACUCACAACUUCAUCAAACCGCAACUAGUUGAACGGCUUGGUCUGUCGAUUCAAUCCACCUCAACGUUUCGAGUUUAUAUCGGCAACGGGGAUUUUUUGGUUUGUCGUUUUCACUGCCCAGAGGUGCCAAUUGUUAUUCAAGGCCAUGAGUUUCGCUUGGAUUUCUUUGUUUUGCCAAUUGAGGGACCGGAGGUAGUUUUGGGCAUCCAGUGGCUUCAACGCCUUGGGCGUGUCUCCACAGAUUAUUCAGAGAUGACUAUGGAAUUUUUUUUGGGAGGGUAAGCAAAUCCUUUUACGAGGUGACCCUAUUCAACUCCCUCACUUGAUCUCGUUUAAUCAAUUUCAAGCAUUGUUACACAGCGAAGAAGUUGACACUUUAUUCGAGCUCCAUUCCCUCUCCAGUAACACAUCCGAGUUCAAUAUUCCCAACUCCACAUCCUCAACCUUUGAAACCGAAUUACCCACUGCCUUGCCAGAAUCUAUUUAUCUUCUCCUCCAUCAAUAUAAAGCAGUUUUUGCUCCACCGACUGGCCUCCCUCCCCAGCGAAAUAUAGACCACAAAAUUCACCUCACUCCCAAUUGCAAACCUGUCAAUGUCAGGCCCUACCGUUAUCCUCAGUUUUAAAAAAAUGAGAUGGAGAAAUUAGUUCAUGAAAUGCUUGAGCAAGGAAUUAUCAAACCAAGUCAUAGCCCUUUCUCCUCACCAGUGUUGUUAGUAAAGAAGAAAGACGGCACAUAUCGCUUCUGUGUGGACUACCGUGCUUUGAAUGCGGUAACAGUGAAGGACAAAUUCCCAAUCCCUACCAUCGAUGAAUUAUUUGAUGAACUUGGUGGUGCAAGGGUAUUUAGCAAACUGGAUUUGAGAGCAGGAUAUCAUCAGAUCAGAGUCCAUAAACGUGACACUUACAAAACAGCGUUUCGCACGCAUGAAGGGCACUAUGAAUUUCUUGUCAUGCCCUUCGGACUGACCAACGCUCCAUCCACCUUCCAAGCGACAAUGAACCAAUUAUUUGCUUCUUUUUUACGCAAAUUUGUUAUCGUAUUUUUUGAUGAUAUUUUGGUAUACAGUUCUUCUUUGGCUGAUCAUGUGUGUCACUUGGAGCAGGUUUUGCUGCGUUUACAAUCACAUCAAUUUUCUGCCAAACUCUCUAAAUGUUUGUUUUGUCAAAAGACCAUUGCUUACUUAGGACAUAUAGUCUCUGCUCAUGGUGUUCAUGCUGACCUUCAAAAGAUUACCGCCAUGGUGGAUUGGCACUUGCCUAAAACAGUGAAGCAACUGAGGGGAUUUUUGGGGCUUACGGGGUAUUAUCGGCGGUUUAUACAAGGUUAUGCAAUUAUUGCAGCUCCACUUACAGAAUUGUUAUGCAAGGAUGCCUUCCGUUGGAAUGUGACAGCCACUGAAGCCUUUAAUAAAUUGAAAGAUGGCAUGGUAAAAGCUCCUGUAUUGCUCCUACCUAACUUUGAAUUGGAAUUUUUCAUUGAAACGGAUGCAUCAAAUGUAGGAAUUGGGGCCGUAUUAAUGCAAGUGGGUCACCCCAUAGCUUAUUUUAGUAAAAAAUUGGGACCUCGGUUGCGGGCAUCGUCGACAUACAUCAAAGAACUACAUGCCAUUGUGUCGGCCGUGCUAAAAUGGCGACAGUAUCUCCUCGGAAGAUUUUUCAUCAUCCGUACAGAUCACAAAAGCAUUAAAGAGUUAUUUCAACAAGUAAUCCAAACUCCUGAUCAGCAGGCUUACGUCCAAAAGUUAUUAGGAUUCCAUUUCAGAAUUGACUAUAAGGCUGGAAGCUCGAAUCAAGCUGCAGAUGCACUGUCACGAAUACAUGAAGAUACACCUCUUGAAUCCCAAAUGGUUCAAGCACUCUGUUUAACAAUGGUUAGUCAACCUUCUACUGAGUUAUUACAAAUCUUGCUAAAGGAAAAUGCAACCGUAGAUGACAUGUUACUUCUCCACAAGAAGUUGGCGACAGGAACACUUUCCCCCGAUUUUUCUGUUCACAAUGGGUUCUUAUUAUUCUGCCACCGCUACUAUCUCAGUCCACACUCAUCGUUGAAACCAAUAUUGCUAAAAGAAUUCCAUGACACUCCAAUGGCAGGUCACGCAGGCCUCAAAAGAACUUUGAUUCGACUGUCUUCUAAUUUUUAUUGGCCCAAAAUGCGAGCUGAUGUGGAAAAGUAUAUUGCUGCUUGUCUCACCUAUCAACAAAUUAAAUAUUCCACCCAAGCCCCUGCAGGAUUACUCCAGCCUCCUCCCAUCCCUUCACUUGUUUGGGAUGAAUUAACUAUGGAUUUUAUUACGGGGCUACCCAAUUCUAAAGGAUUUGAAGUUAUUUUGGUUGUGGUUGAUCGUUUGACGAAAUCAGCACAUUUCGGAGCAUUGCCAUCUCAGUUCACUGCCCACAAGACAGCCAUGUUAUUCACUGACUUGGUAGUCAAAUUACAUGGUUUUCCCAGUUCAAUCAUUUCAGACCGAGAUCCAGUAUUCAUGAGCCAUUUUUGGCAAAAAUUAUUUGAAUUGAGUGGCACCACAUUACGCCACAGCACCGCUUAUCAUCCACAGACCGACGGCCAAUCCGAGGUGGUAAACCGCGGCCUAGAGCAAUAUCUCCGAGCCUUCACUCAAGACAAACCUCAUUCUUGGUCAACUAUUUUGGGAUGGGCUGAAUUUUGUUACAAUACCAGUUAUCAUAGUAGCUUGCGAAUGACACUGUUAACAUAAAUAUGUUAAUAAUAUUGAUUUUGAUGAUAACAAAUUUUAAAUGUUUUUUGAUAAAAAUAUUGGAGCUAUUCCUUAAUAAACGAAAGCCUUGAUAAUCAUUCCAUUCAUUCUUUCAUAAAAGAUGGACCUUCAAAUUCAAAAAUGAUUUUCUGUAAAAUCUGUUUUAAAAUGUGAUUCUGGAAAUAAACGGUAAACCGUUUAUUUAAACGGUUAACCGAUUAAUGCCAGAGAGCAACAUAUUUCCUAAACCUCUAACCGUUUAUGAAAAACGAAAAACACAAAAGAUGGGAAGGUUACUGGAACUUAACGGUGAACCGUUUAUGUAAAACGGUUAACCGAUUAACACCAGAAAGCAACAUAUUGCCUAAGCUCUAACUGUUUAUGAAAAACGAAAAACACCAAGGAUGGAAAGGCAACUGGAACUUAACGGUGAACCGUUUAUUUUAAACGGUUAAUCGAUAAUGUCCAGAAUUGAAGGUUGUCCUCCUCUGGCACUAAUUAACAAAACCUGAUAAGGCUAGUUUGUUUUGCAGGUUACUGGAGUCAAACGGCUUACCGUUUAUUACAAACGGUUAACCGAUAAUAUCCAGAGAAGCCACUUCACGCAAGUCCUUAACCGUUUAGUGUAAACGGAUAACCAAUGUUCAUCUUGCAGGUCUCUGGAAGUUAACGGCGAAAGGUUAAUCCUAAACGGCAAACCGUUUAUUUGAAAUCUGGCCCAACGGUAACUUUGACCAACCGAAACGGUUAACCGUUUAUGGCUAACGGCGAACCGUUUUCUGUCCGACAGUUUGUAACGGCUAGAUUUUCAUCUCCAUAUAUAAAUAAGCUCAUUCAAAUUCAAAGAAGAUUGAUCACAACACGACCUUUGAGCAAAUAUUCGAGAAUACAAUCUUCAUAAAGCUUAAAACACAUUCUUGCUUCAUCUAUUCACAUAUUAAGCAUCAUUGUGUAAUCUUAUAUAUUGUGAGAGGCAAAACAAUUUGUAAUCUUUUACUUUGAGUGAUUGUAAGUGUUGGGAUAGACUUGGGUUAAGAGAUUGGGGAUAAUCUCUUGUUGUAAAGGUUUAUUGACACCUUGGAAGUCAAGUGUAAGCAUUUGAAGCCUUGGCGGCUUGCUUAGUGGAAUCCUCAAGCCCGGAAAGCUAUUGCUUUGAAUUUGGAUUAUAUUUGCAUUAAGUUUUUCUUUAUAAAUUGAAUAAUUUUUAGAAUCCCAAUUCACCCCCCCUCUUGGGUUGCAUACUUGUAUUUCAGACACCUUUCCAAGCUCUUUAUGGACGCUUACCUCCUACAAUUCCUGGCUAUUCCAAGGGCUCUACUUCAAUCCAAGCAUUAGAAGACCUGCUGGUCGAGCGAGAUGAAUUGUUGCGCGGUUUAAGAGCAAACUUAUGUCAAGCUCAGCACCGAAUGGCACAAAAAGCUAACAAGCAUCGCAGAGACUUGCAACUACAGGUGGGGGACAAAGUGCUGGUACGCUUACAACCUUACAGGCAAUCAUCUGCUGCCAACCACGCUUCGCACAAGCUGGCAAAGCGCUACUAUGGGCCAUUUCGGGUAUUGGAGAGAAUUGGUUCUGUUGCUUAUAAAUUAGAAUUGCCUGCUGGCAGCAAAAUUCACCAUGUUUUCCAUAUAUCCUUACUCAAGCCUUAUGUUGGGGAUUCUCAUGUUGACAUUCAUUCCCUGCCCCCUGCAAGUGUGAACAACAAGCCACUUUCUUCUCUUAUAGCGAUUUGUGCUGAACGCUCGGUGCUUAAACAAGGGCAGGAGCUUCGUCAAGUUUUGGUGCAAUGGUCUAAUUGUGCCCCUAAAAAUUCUACUUGGGAGGAUUAUGAUGAUUUUUGCAAGACAUAUCCCGAGCUUCACCUUGAGGACAAGGUAAAUUCUCAAGGGAUGGGGAAUGAUACAACUUUGCCCGAGACUAAUGACAAAUCAACACUUGAAACAGAGGAAGAAACCCAGUUGGUCGAGGAGCCCAUCAAAGGUCCAGCUCGUAUGCACAGGGCACCAACAUACCUCAAGGAUUACAUUACCUAAGGAAUAUUCGAGAAGAAACAAAAGGAGUGAGAAAGAUGACAGCUGUGAUUUUGGUUAUUUUGUUGUGACUAUUUGUUUUGCCAAUUUUGUCGUAGUUGGUUAGUUACGCUUGUAUUGUUGUGGGACAAAAAGGAUAUUUGAAAAGGGCAACAGGUCAGAAAGGAUAAUAAGAAAAUGGCAAAUAUUUCUUCUUCUCUCUCUCCGUCUCUCCUGCUAUCUCUGUUUCUCCAUUAAUUUCAAUUCUUUUGCUUCUUUUUGCUGGAGUCAGCACUUACUCGAAAAGUGUAAAUCUAGGAUAUAAACUCUGAGUUGCAGAGUUGUAUCACAGUACCACUUAUUCAAUACACUUCUUUCACUCACUCUCUUCACCCACACACUCUUCUCUCUCUCGCUCUCUCUUCAAUCAACAAAAUAGAACUAAAAAAGUAAAAAUCAAAAUUAAAAUAUAAAACAGCAAAAAUUAAAAGCAAAAAAUCAGAUCAGCAAACAAUUUGCUACUUUUACCUGUUUUGUUUUAAUUGCUUCGAUUUUCAUCUCACAAGCGUUCAAAUUUUGUGAAGCUGAAAGCUGCAGAAUGGGUGGAAUUUGCUUCCACUUCUCGUUGAAGCGCUUCCAGGUGGGCUUCUCAAAACGAUCCGUUCAAUAUCUGAAUUUCUGAUAAUAAAUUUUUGGUUUUGAAGUGAUUUUGUAGCUUAGAAUUUGUUUAUUUAUUUAUGUUUUGGUCAUUUUUUUUAAUAUUUCUGUUGAUUGACUUCAAGUAUUUAUGUGGAGAAGAUACAUAAUGCAUGAUGUCUAUCAUGUAAUUUUUAUAAUUAUUUUAUUUAAAUUAUAUGUGUUGUAAUAUAUAUCUUAAUUAUAGUGUAAAAACAAUGAUAAUGUAAAACUUUUUUUUAUUAAUGCUAAUAGUAAAACUUUAUCACCAUGAAUUUUUUUAUAAUUAUUUUGUUUAAAUUAUUUAUGUUAUGUUUAUGUAUGUAUUAGAUAAAAAAUUAUUUUCUAACUAUAAGUAUGACUUAAAUGUUUAGUAAAAAUUAUUUUUGAAAAUAGUACUACCAAACUCACUAUUUUUAUCAUUUUCAAUUGUAUCUACCGAACGCAUAUUACUACUUUCAAUUUUAAAAUAUACGAUACAAAAAUUGAUAUCAAACGCAUACUUAAAUUCGAAAUACAAUAAUUAUAAAACAUCAUUUUCAUUCUCAUUUUUGUUCUUAGAAAAUAAAAAUUCAAAAAUAAUACCGAACAUGCCCUUAUCUACUCUUAAUUGGGACAACUAACUGUACCAAUAUUUAUCUUCAAAACUCAGAAAUUAGUGAAAUCUUGCUUCUCUUUUCACGGUGGAUUUUUUACAUUGGAUGUAGGCAAGAAUAUGACCGACCACUAUAAAUUAUAACUAUUAAUUUACUCCGAUACCUCUUGUUAAACACAAACAAAUAUCUCCACUUAUCUUUAGAAACACCAAUCAUGCAGAAAAUACACCUUUAAUAAAAAACAUGCAAUGCGAAUUGAAAAUUUUGAACCAACUCUUCCAUGUAGAUUCAUGUUUGCAUAUAGCAACAUUAUUAUCAUUCAAUAAGAAUAAGAAUCACAUCCCCAUUUACAACACAAAAUUACAAUAUAAAGGGUCAAAACACCUGGCAAGAAAUAAAAAGUAUUAAGAAUAGAUCUAGUAAACUACAACUCUUCCAAAAACAAGGAAAACUUCAAACCACUGGCAAAAUAGGGACACUCUUUAGACCCAAAAGAGGUGUAGAGUAAAUAAGUAAUAAUAAUAAUAAACCCAUCAUACUCAUUGGAAAAAGGGGUUAAAAAUUAAAGGUAUCAGGGUAUAUUUGUACCAAUGUGGCAACAUUUUUAUUAAUAACCACAAUAAUUUUUUUUUAUCUCGAUCUUAAAAUAUUAGUAGUGAAGCUUUAUGUAACAAUUUAAAUUUUUUGUUUACUGAAAAAUGAAAUAAUAGUUAAACACUCAAUCGUUAUUUUUAAAAUUUUCGUAAUCUCUUAAAUCUUAUUUUAUCUGCAUUACGUAUGAAGUGUAAGGUUGUAAUGACAACUACAACAAUAAUUGGAAAAAGAAAAGUAGAUGAAAUAACAAAUUAAUUAACCGCAAUAAUAAUAUAGGAUUCAUAAAAAUUAACUUACUGUAAAUGAAAGGCUACUCUUUUAUGACAAUAAGAAUUUUAUUUAAACACGAAAAUUUCUUUCCAAUUAGUUAUGGACCAGCAUGAGUUUGGUGCUUAAUGGAACUCAAAUUUCUAAUAAAUAUUUACAAAAUACAUUAUAUUUUGAUCAAUCUUACAUAUGAAGGAAAUUAAUUGUUUAUCAAUCUUACAUAUGAAGGAAAUUAAUUGUUUGCUUCUGUACAUGGAAAAUAUUUACAAACAAAUUUUGGGACUUGUUUAUUGGACCUCAAGGGCCAUGGCCCAUGGGUGCUAUAAGCCUUUUACUAUUGUCAUAAUAAUUCACAAGUGUGCAGUGGCUUUAAGAUUAAUUAAUUUUUGCUAAAGCUUGAACAGAGACUUUAAAAUUCUUCAAUUUUGUGUCAGAUUUUGCUUGUUAUUAAUUUGUUGAUCUUCAUUCUAUGCUAAAUACCAAUGUUUGAAGGUAGUCCUUUCUAUUCAUUGAGAUAUCACUUUGUCAUAGGCAUUGUAUGUGUGUGUAUAUAUAUAUAUUGCAAUAAUUAUUAUUGGAAAUUUGUGGAGGGUGUACCUAGACUCUUUUAUAGUGCAGCCUAGAUAAUAUAUUAAUAUAAAUGAAAGGAAGUGAUUUAUCAUUUACCAUCUAAAAAAUGGGCAGUUCCAUAUUUUUUUACGUAGUCGUUCGUGUACUGAAUAUUCAAAAUACAAAUAGCAAAGAAAGUUUCCAUUCCCUAAUUAAGAAGUCAGCAUGAUUGAGCUGAGAUAUCAUACAGGAUAUGAGGCUUGUUAUAGUUGCUCUUCAGGUUAUACAUAUACUAGAAGAGUAAAAAUGUAGUAACUCUCACUGAUGUCACACAUUAUGGAGAAAAAGAGGCUUCAAGUCUCCAGUUUUUGUUAAGUAGUGGAGGAGAUGAGGAAAAGUGAUGAUCGUGUCAGGGUCUUGCCUCUAUUAAUUCCUAGGCCUAGGCCUUAUGAUUGCAUGGAAAGGAUUUAGCUUGUGAGUAGUGAGGCCAACAGUAUCAACACUUUCUUCCUCACCCUCUCUCAGAUUCCACUUGAAUUCCUGCACCAGCCUACCUAUUGCUGUGCAAGCUAUCAAACUUGCCUGAAGAGAACCUGCGCACACCCUCUUUCCUGCUCCAAAGGCCAUUGUCUUGUACAAAUCUGCAGGGUCGUUUUGCCCAUCAAGAAAUCUCU